This is a long non-coding RNA of Gossypium arboreum, 505 nucleotides long. RefSeq lists it as uncharacterized. The transcript is spliced from 3 exons. The record is from RefSeq and is a predicted model, not a curated record. NCBI's taxonomy places the organism in Eukaryota, Viridiplantae, Streptophyta, Magnoliopsida, Malvales, Malvaceae.
AUAUAAAACAAAACAAAGUAAAAGAAAAGAAAAGAAUAGAAAGAAACAGAGAAGAAACGAAACAGGGGAGAGAGGAGGAGAAAAAGAAAGGAAAGAAAGGAAAAAGGGGAAAUAGGGAUUUUGAAGCUUGGAAGUUUAAUAGCUAAUGUUGUCUCGGGAAAUCUCGGCUAAGCAAGACAAGACAAAGACAACAGGAGUUAGCUUGGAAACUACGGUUAGGUUAAAGACAGAUAGUCGAAUCAGCAUCAUAAGCCGAUCCCGAACUCAAAAAGGUAAAGCAUGUUAAUUAUCGGUAAUGGCAUGUACCUAGGAUGUCUUAAGUGUGUUAUAUUGGAUUGUGAUUGUAAUAGUGAAAUAAUUAAAUUAAUAAUUGAUAAUAAUACAUGAUAAGUGUUUAAAUUUAAGUAUUAGAUAAUAUAUAAAAUGCGUUUGGAUUGAUUUAAUAUUUGCAUUUGUAUUGGUUGUAGAUUGAAAUUUACAGGAUUGGUAAAUUUUUAAAAUACAA